AACCAUAGAAACCUGCGGAGUACCUGCGGAAGGAUCAUUCAAGGAUUAUUAUAUUGUUGUAUAUAUGAAGGGUGGUUUAACCUGGGUGUUAUAACACACCUUUUGUAUAUACACAAUAUUACUUUUACACCUAACUAAUGUUUUGUGGGGGGUGGUGAGUAGGUAGGAGUCAUUGAUAAAGAGAUGUUUUAUAGCUUUGUUUGUAAUGCAUCUUUUUUCAAAGACUUUUACCACCACCAC
This 240-nucleotide unclassified non-coding RNA is filed under the name soil metagenome. Its description in RNAcentral is "partial contains 5.8S ribosomal RNA, internal transcribed spacer 2, and large subunit ribosomal RNA". The record is from RNAcentral.